This 292-nucleotide ribosomal RNA is filed under the name uncultured bacterium. RNAcentral describes it as "partial 16S ribosomal RNA". It matches the Rfam family "Bacterial small subunit ribosomal RNA", at positions 505 to 796 of the family's 1533-position model. The record is from RNAcentral.
GUGCCAGCAGCCGCGGUAAAACGUAGGAGACAAACGUUAUCCGGAGUUACUGGGCGUAAAGGGCGUGCAGGCGGUUGCUUAAGUUCGGCGUGAAAGCUCCUGGCUAAACCGGGAGAGGUCGUCGGAAACUGGGUGACUAGAGGGUGAUAGAGGCGGGUGGAAUUCCGGGUGUAGUGGUGAAAUGCGUAGAGAUCCGGAGGAACACCAGUGGCGAAGGCGACCCGCUGGGUCACACCUGACGCUGAGACGCGACAGCAUGGGGAGCGAACGGGAUUAGAAACCCCUGUAGUCC